RNAcentral lists this ribosomal RNA (253 nucleotides) under uncultured bacterium. RNAcentral's name for it is "partial 16S ribosomal RNA". It matches the Rfam family "Bacterial small subunit ribosomal RNA", at positions 524 to 776 of the family's 1533-position model. The record is from RNAcentral.
UACAGAGACUGCAAGCGUUAUUCGGAUUCACUGGGCGUAAAGGGUGCGCAGGCGGCCGUGUGUGUGAGGCGUGAAAGCCCGGGGCUUAACCCCGGAAUUGCACCUCAAACUACACGGCUAGAGCAUUGGAGAGGGUAGCAGAAUUCACGGUGUAGCAGUGAAAUGCGUAGAUAUCGUGAGGAAUACCAGAGGCGAAGGCGGCUACCUGGACAAUUGCUGACGCUGAGCAGCGAAAGCGUGGGUAGCAAACAGG